UGGGUGUGCUCGCAACCCUGGGUUUCUGCAGGCCUCACAGGAGAGCCCAGGUUGGCUGGAUAAUGCCGAAGUGGGCUUUCAGCCCUUCAGAGGACACAUUUCAUGUUGGUCCUCCUGACUUCAGACAGCGUUCUCUUCCUAACUGGCCACUGCUGCGUGUCCGGCUCCUGGCCUGUGUGCAGCAUCGUAAUCCACAGCAGGAGAAGUCCCAGGGGCAGGUGAGGGCAGGGCAUGUCACAGGGCAGAUGUGGGGUGAGCGACCGGGCGCUGGGUUGGAGAGCAGAGCCGUGUCAUCCCGAGAGCCUGUGCCUGGUAUCAGCAGGAAGCAUCACAAAAAGCACAUUCAAUUCACUGCCUGCUAUGGAGCUAACAGCCCUGUGUCACGAACAGCCUGUCCUGAAGCUGUGGGUCAUCCCAGUGCAAUGCUCACCCCUCGAAGGGGCUGCACUCUGACCGGCUGGGCAAAUCUGCUGCAGGCAUCCCUUGCUGCAAUGGACAUCCCUUGCUGCUGUGGUUAUCCUUCAUUGCUAUGGUCACCCCUUGCUGCUGUGGACCCCCCUCACUGCUGCCCCAACCCUGGGGGAACCUGGGGACACCCUGGCCCUGCAUCCUCACAUCUGGUGGCUGCGUGUCCCCUGCCACAUCCCUGCCCACUCUUCCUGCUGCACUGCGCAGUGUGGCUCUGGGCUCUACUGCAGCUUUCUGCUUCACCGAAGAAGAACUGUUCUCUCAGCUCAUGAUUUGUUCCCAAGCCUCGUUUUUACAUGAUGCAAUUUAACACAGAGCAAGGACACGAAGUACCUGUUGGCUUGGAGCCCACUCUAAAAGCCGUAAAAAGGAGAUAAAAGCCUUUAAAUGCUAAGCCUGUCCGAGGAGACAAUAAAAGGCAAAUGUCUUCCCAGUUUUAUGUCUAUGCCUUUUACUUGAUUUAUGGAGAUUUUGCCAUAUUCCUUCAUGGUUUGUGACUUUUCAAGCAGUUUGACUGUCGUAAAAGGACCAUAGAAGCAAACUGCACC
Molecule: long non-coding RNA, 1016 nt
Filed under: Phasianus colchicus (ring-necked pheasant)
Lineage: Eukaryota; Metazoa; Chordata; Aves; Galliformes; Phasianidae
Description: lncRNA (ENSPCLG00000007406.1)
Source: RNAcentral